GUUGUCCGGAUUUAUUGGGCGUAAAGAGCGUGUAGGCGGCCAUACAGGUCCGUUGUGAAAACUGGAGGCUUAACCUCCAGACGUCGAUGGAAACCGUGUGGCUAGAGUCCGGAAGAGGAGAGUGGAAUUCCUGGUGUAGCGGUGAAAUGCGCAGAUAUCAGGAAGAACACCCGUGGCGAAGGCGGCUCUCUGGGACGGUACUGACGCUGAGACGCGAAAGCGUGGGGAGCGAACAGG
This 237-nucleotide ribosomal RNA is filed under the name uncultured bacterium. RNAcentral describes it as "partial 16S ribosomal RNA". It matches the Rfam family "Bacterial small subunit ribosomal RNA", at positions 540 to 776 of the family's 1533-position model. The record is from RNAcentral.